This is a small nucleolar RNA of Mya arenaria, 80 nucleotides long. RefSeq annotates it as small nucleolar RNA SNORD79. The transcript has a single exon. The record is from RefSeq and is a predicted model, not a curated record. Lineage: Eukaryota; Metazoa; Mollusca; Bivalvia; Myida; Myidae.
GGCCAUUUAUGAUGAUGAUUUCUACAAAUGGGAAUCUCUCUGAGAAAAACCAAAUGGAGACUGUUGUAUCUGAAAUGGUC